Phalacrocorax carbo (great cormorant) is the source of this 318-nucleotide non-coding RNA. The record is from RefSeq and is a predicted model, not a curated record. NCBI's taxonomy places the organism in Eukaryota, Metazoa, Chordata, Aves, Suliformes, Phalacrocoracidae.
CUGCUUCUUGUUGUGCCCCGCCGCCCAUGACCGCCUCGACUGCAAAGGGCUGGAGGCGGUGUGGCGCGACAACUGUCCCCUGGCCACAAACCUCAUCACCGCCUGCUUACGCUGCAUCCUGCUGCACCGGGACCAUGCGGGGGCAGUGGCGCACACACACGAGGUGAUCUCGGACCUGCUGUGUAACCGUGUCAUCUUGCAGCUUGUCAUCACCAAGGAGCUGAGGCGGGUGGCCUCGUCCUACACCGCCCAACAGGCCCACGUGCAGCUGGUUGAGAGCAUGUGGCAGCAGGAUCCUGGCAGUGCCCCCGCCCUGGG